CCGCCGCCCAGGGCCAGGCUCGCCGCGCCUCCCGGCCGGGGUUGCGGCUCCACGCCCGAGGCGGAGACCACGAGGAGGAGCCGGGCGGCCCCCGCGAAGUGGGGCUGGGGGUGGCGAACCCCGCAGUCCUCCUCUUCCUCCUCCGCGCCGGUGCGCACGGAGCCAACAUGGUGGAGGCGAGCGGAGCGGCCGCUCCCCGGGCGGCCCCGCCGUGCGGAGGGAACCGGGGCUUGCGCUGCGCGGCGGCUUCGGGGCCGAGGCGUGGGCCGGGGCUCGGCCGAGAGCAGCCGCCGCCCCCCGGCCCUGCCUCCGGCGCCUGGACCCGAGGGGGUCGUGGGACCUUCGUCGGGGUAAAUGGGGGUGGGGGGCCGAGCCGCUGAGCUGCCGCCGCCGUGCCGGGCGGGUGAGCUCGGUAAGCCUCUCUCGACAGAGAGAACCUGAAAUAUUCUGGCAGCGGAGCGCUUCUGCGUGGCGCGGCAAAAGCGAACACAAAUUACUUUAAAACUCCUCAACCGGGUAUCUCCAGGUGGGCCGCGGCUUAGGCUCGGUAAAUUUGAUUUAUUCGGCUCAAAAGAGAGGCAAAGCGGUCCUUCCGACGCGUGGGCGCUGCGGGGGGGGCGGGCGCUGCGGCGGCGGGCGCGGGAAAGCCCGGUGCGGCACCGCAGGACGAACCUGCCGCCCGAAGGCUGGGCAAAGAGCAGGGCUGUAAAUAACGCGCCACUCACCCCGUGGGAUUUUAUGUUACGGGUUUCCCGCUCGCUGCAGCUCCAGAAAUCAGAGUUUUGCAUUUUAAGUAAUAAAAAAUUGGAUUUGUGUCAAGGUGGGCUUCAUGGAGGAGGGUCGCUCAGAUGCAUCUGGCCUUCAGAAUCGCAGACUGCAGGAUGAAGCGAAAGGAAAGAAAAGAAAAAAGAAAUAAUCCUGAAGUUUACACGGGCAAAUCGGCAGUUCUCAUUUAGGAUUAUCUUUUACUGUUUUCAGUUCUCUAGUAGGCAAAUUCGGCACUAGAAUAGCGUUUACUUCUCUUGCCUCUUUAUUUGGUUCCAAGGCUGAACAUAAAACAGUAAUUGUAUUGAUCGCUAAUGUUAAUCUAAUCUAAUCUAUAUUUAAUCUAAAAAAAAAAAAUCAGAACAGAAUGUCCAAUUAAUCUUCCAGGCAAUGCUGUGGAGUAAAGCCAUUUGUAUUUUUAACUUAAGAUAAAGCAAAUACAUAUAUUUGCUUUUACAGGACCAUAAAUACACUAAGCAGUUAACAAAAUAUAAAAAAGCAAGAGUGUUUUAGAUUUGGAGGUUCGUUACCAUAAAUCAUACUCACGUAAUCCUGUUAGAGUGGUGGAGUUUAUCAUGUUUCUGUUGUGUCAGGAGCCUAAAUCACAUUAUACAGAAUUGAUUUUUAAUUUAGAAAUCAACAGCGAGUUUUACAAAUUGACCUGGGCGAUGAAUUACUUACCCGAGGAGGAGUGUUUGCAGACUGGUCAGAGCUCUGGGUCUGCCACGGCUUCACGGCACCAGCUGAGCUUACGUUAGUCUUGAGCGAGAGCAAGGUUUGACCUCCAUUAUUAGUUGUGGGGUUUUUUUAUACGCAGGCAAGCAUUGCUGCAUGGCUCGUUUUACAGUACAAUGGUAAAACUUGCGUUUCUGAAAAACAGAAUGAGCCCAAAGUGUGUCAUCACCUUCAUUAGGUUUCAAAGUUACUCAUUUUUCUUAAGAAAUUUUUCAGCAUUGGGAUAAAGCUUUAUAGUUGAAGGAAUAUUGUCUCUUGCCAGCUGUCACCGUAAUUUGACUUCUAGGUUUCAGGCCCAGGGUUGAUGGGUGGGAUUACAUAGCUGUCCUUCCUCCCAGCAGCUGGCUGUGCCUGCGUAGUACUGAAAGGUUCGCUGGGAUUCUCAGUCCAUUGCAGCUCUCCCAUUGCUUUCUCUCCUUUGCACCAAUAUAAGGAAUGAAUUGGUGGGUUUCUGAAAGGCUGAGUUGUUAACCAUGGCCUCUACUUGCUGUUGUACGUGUGCUGUCGGCUGCCACUGAUAGUACCGGGGCUGCGCCAAUGAUCAACUUUGGUCAAUAGUGGAGAGACCAGCAUGCUUAAUUCCAUGCACAGUGUGAUUAAAAUAGCAGAGCAGUUGGGAAGAAGACGAGAUGGCCAGUCUCAUAACUGAGCACAAGCUCAGACCCACACCAUAUGGGGGUGAAAGAAUAGAUGAGGGUUUGAGUCUGGAGUCUUAGAGGCCAGACAUGCUUUCAUCGCAGUGGAAAAUUUGGCUGCUUCUUAAAUUGCCUUGCACUUGUUACUGACAGUCUGAGCGUUCCUCAUUUUUAUAAGGAAAUGUUGAACAGGUGACUUAAAACCAUCAAACUGCUGGUGGUUCAGUCCAUUUAACCCUGCACUGGAGGGGACUCGGGGCAACAUUGCCGCCAUCUGCCUGCGAGCCAGCCUGCAGCCUGGUGCCACAGUUUACCCCGAUAGAGCUCCUUUACGCUGCUGCUCUGCUCUAACAGUGGGUUCCCAAUUCUGUUGCAGUGCUGAGAGUGCUAUGAGCCCUGCAGGUGGACUGACACCGCUCAGGAGGCAUCAGCUGAAACUGGCACCAGUCUGAGCUGCGAGUCAGCUAGGGCCAGUGCCUCCUUUUAGGAAUUUCCCAUCCCUUUUAUUCUUUUUGUUUGAAUUAUUAUUUUUGACUUUGUCCAGGAAGGGGAGGGAGGAGCUGCCCUCGUAUGCUUUGGCAUGGCUGGAAUAUGGUGUGAGAUGCUACUGCUGUAGGGGUUCGUUGCUCCUGUUUGCUGGAUAGUUUCCCAAAUAGCCCUUCAGACAGGCUCAGCAUUUACUAACUCCUCAGCUGCAUUGCGUUUUUAGCUGACAUUAACAUAAUCUUAAAGAUUUGUGCAAAUAGUAUAUGGAGAACUCCUUCCUUGAUGUAGGCUAUCUUUGAAAAUUCUCAUAUAUUUGAAUUAAUUUCUAAAGAAGGUGAUAAUUUAUACACUCCUUAAUGUUUUUUUUUUUGUUGUUCAAAUUACUCAACGAUUAGUAGGAUCAUGUAUAUAUUAUGCCAGAUGAAGUAUUUUUAGGGUUAUGGGGGGAAUACAGGCAUAAGAGCAGAAAGAAAGAAGGAGGAACAGAGGAAUAGAGAUGGACGAAGGCAGACCGAGAUAUUUCAGGCAUUGAUACGGGUUCAGUGAUUUGUGAUUGGGGAAUAGAGGACUUGUAUCCUGAGAUUUUGAAGGAGAUGGGCAGACUGAUUUUCUGGUGAGCUUUAACAGUACGUGCCAAAGGUUAAUCUAUGGUACACAUUAUAGUAACUUGGAAACAUUGAGACGUUGUUGAAAACACUUGUUGGGAUUCUACUCCAAUAAAUUGGAAUAAACAGAAAAAUAUUGUGGUGUUUCAUGGUCUCCUGCAAACAAUUCUUUCUUUUAAAAGAAAUAAAAUGUUUUGCUGGACCUAAAUUCAUUCCUUUAUUUUGAGAAAUAACUAUGGUAGUUAAGGUCUCAUCCCAGCUGUCACUUACUCUUUGAAAGUGUGGAUAAUAAUGACAUUUUAUAGCAGCAUCUCUCAAAAAUCAUGGGCCAAGUUUCCAUUGCUCAUUGUGUUGUGUGAUCACAUUACAAAAAGUGGUUCUUCUUGGAAUUAAUUAGUAUUAGUCACAUGCUUACUUCUAAGCACUUGCAUAAAUAUUUUUAAUAAUAGGGAGUUCAGCAAAUCAUAGAUGUUUCUUUUGAAUCUGAAUAUUCUAUGUGCUACUUGAAAAAUAUGGGUAGUUUUAGUCAUGUUAAUUUCUUCAAGUGACACUAUUAAUAAAAUCAUUGAUCUUUAAAAGUGAAACAUCUUCCUUGGAUAUAAUGCAAACUGCAUAUGAAUAUAGUGGUUCAGUAAGGAAAUGGAGUGCUAAGCCCCUGCAUGAUGGAUCUGUCAUUGUUUCCUGUUCUGAAGCAAGUAUUCUGUUCAAGCUAUAUGUUAAUCUUCAAAACAUUUUCAUCACAGAUGUCCCAUUUUGCCUUGAAAUGCUUCUGCAUUUCCAAAUGGGCAGGAUCUUUGUGUUUGGUGUGCACACCUAUUUGCAAGAUUAAAUAUUCCCUUCUUUCUCAGAUAGAAUUUCUGUUUGAUCUUGUGUAACAUGACUGAUCACUUGGGCAUAUAAUACUUUUAGCAAGUGUGUGGAGGGUUAUUUUUUAAAAAGUUGAUUCAAAUGGUGUUUUUGAAAUCAUUUAAAGUUACUUUUGAAAGCAUGCUAGGCUUUAUCUUGGAAAACUGUCUACUUCCAAACCUGUUGCUAUUUACAUUUGUGUCACAUCCAGUUAUAUCAGACACGCUGGAUUACAUUGUAUAAUGAAAGCCGUAUUGCUGUACUCUAAUCUUUAUCUCUUUAUAUCCGAUCGCCUUUGAAUUACACGAGUAUUGCUUAUGGUUACUUAAAAUAACUACUGCUUUUGUUUCAAGGGCAGUGCUAAAUAUGAUGAAUGCUUAACACUCAACCCUGCUUUGGCAGCAGCUACACAUCCUGUAUCUUUGGUUCUUGCAUGAUUUAAUUUGGAAGCCGCACAGAUAUGUGCAUUUUUUAAUUUUUUCAUUUAAAUUUCAUAUUUGAAAAAUCUGAAGCCUGUGAAAUCAUACAGGUCCAGAAAAAAAUUAAUGCAUUCACUUGGGCCUCUGUACUCUUCUGAGAGAUUUGGAACAUAUGCUCUCCUCCUCACAAAGUGGGUCAUGUACUUUUAGUCAGAAAGGAAAGGGACAAACAGUAGGAGAAAAAGAAGUACGUGUAAGUAAAGCUGGCCUGAACUGACUUUGGUUUUGAGAUCACUGCCUAAGAUAUUGCUGUGGAAGAAAUGCUUAAUAAUGUUGUUAGCUGCAAAAUCCAAGUUAAUAGAGCAUUUAGGGAGCGCUGCUGGGGGAUUCUGCAUCAAAGUCUACUUUUUCCAGGGCACCCUGAAUUUUAGCUGUUGAACACACGUGCUGUUGCGGUGCUUUUUUACAUGACUUCAUAAAAUGGAGCCAAGUGAAACAUAAUUCAACAACUUUCUUUUUACAAAGACAUAGCAACUAUAUAUGGAGUCUUAAUGUGGCCCUGUGGGAUCAGCCUUUCCUAACCAGCCUCCUCUUUGUCUGCACCAUCAUUCUUGUUGCUGCUGUAUUCCCGCAUCUUAUUCUCCUCAUCGUCAUCGGUAGUUAGUUCUUAUGUUAGGCCUUGCUUCAGACUCUGUAUGGUCCUUUCCUCUGAGCUCCCACCCUGGCUAGAGAUGGACAAAUUCCUCAGGCCUGUGUCUGGGCCCUUUAUGAUGCAUUAUUGCUUAACAGAUCAUCUGAAUUUUCCAUGCCAGGUUGUUAUUCUUGCCCUAAUGCUUUGAGGAUAAUUCUCUGUCACAACCCUGGGCACCAGAAAGCCUUCCUUCUUAAUUUAGAGAUGAAUGUGAUGAAGUUUAUUACUUUGGGAAUAGUUCCAGGAACAAAAUCAUCCCCUCAGUCCAGGAUGCCAGGCAAAUCCUUAGAGCAGAGCUUCGAUCAGGAUGGCGGUGUUCACCAGUACAGGUGGACAUAACUGUUGUACACAAUGUAGAGAUCUCAGAAAACCAGACAGCCAUCAGAUGUGUGGGUUUUUCUCAGCAUGCCUCUAUCUCUGUUGUUUCUCCCCCCAUCGUCCAUUUUCUCAUCACCGUUCCUUCAGCUGGAGGUUACAGUCCCCUCAGGUCUGCUGGCAUAACUACAACUAUAGUGUUUUUUUCUAGUUUUCCAGAUCUGCCAGCAUGACCUUAGUUUAUAUCCCCUAAUAGUUUUCUAAAAACCAAGAUUAUAUUGAUGCAACUUUUCUAGGGAGUAAUAUGUAUACAGUUGUGCUCACUGAUCAAGGAAAGAGGUUACAGGCCAGGGAGGAGACCAGUGACUUCUUAUCCUACCUCAGCUGCAGCCAGAACAGUCUGAAUUUUCUGAAAUUUCAUUGUUUAGGAAAAUGUGACUGCUUGAUAGAUGAGGAGAGAAGAGUGGUGGUGGGGAGUAGGAAAGACUAGGUGGCCGUUUUCCUGGUGUUUCACUGUUACUUUGCAUUCAUCUUUUUCAGUUCCCACCUUGCUCCAGGCAAAUAUCCUUUUGUUCCCUUAUUGCUUUCUGCUUUGCUCCCCUGAAGCAGCUGCAGUCUCUUCCAUUCUUCCAGUAGAAUCUGCACUGGGGUGAAUGAGUGAGUCAUGAACAAGGCAGGCGAGGUAACAACUACUCGAAAAGAGGCACCUGUGGAAAACCUGAUUUUUAAAAUCUGAAAAACGUUAGAAGAUGGAAAAAGCCUGGGUUUAUUAAAAGCAGAGCUGGUAGCCUUUCCAGUGGUUAAUGACCACUAGUACUGUUUGUAAGAGUUUUCAGUUGCCUAUAACCACCCAACUUCAACUUCUUAGGCUAAGAUUGCUCUUGGCAAUUGCCUGCCUCACUGCUGUGAUGCUUGCAAUGUGAUAAUCUGCAGCUUUCUCAUGUCAGAAGGAAGCAACUUUGCCAGCUGAUUUGUAGAGAAGCACCUGUUAUUUCCAAACUGGGGGCAGUCAUUUGAAAUUUAGCAAGUCUCUCAUGCUGAUGUCAUGGGUAUGCCGUUUGUAGUAUUUGUUAAUAAUACAUCCAUGUCUACCUGGCGGUAAGUAAGCCUCUGCACAGUCUUGCUUCACGUGUAGGGGCUUACUAGAUCUAAGGUGAGUUUUCCAAAAACUCUAUCUGCAUAUCCUCCCACAGGUCCUACUGGCGAAGGAGGCUGGAGAUGCUCCGUUCCAAGGCUUCAAAGGCUAAGCCAGCAUUUCUUUGCAAUUAGGUAGGAACGCAGAGCUGGAAUGGACCUCCCACCACGCAACAACUAUUGUGGGAAAAUGGUAGCAGCUCUUCCCUUUUCCACCUCUUGCUUAAAAGGAAAAAACAUAAAAGAAUUAAUAAGUAAGGAAAACUACUUCCAAGUUGCUCCUCUUUUUGUUCUGCAUGCUCCUGAUUUGUCCUGCUGUUUUAUCACUGUGCUUCUUUUGCAUCUGGCUCUUGGGGGCAAAAAGGAGCAGAACAGAACCCAACCUAAGCCCUGCUCCAUGAGUGUGGAAGCCAGUGAUGAUAUAUUACAGCUGCCCAGAAGCUUUUUGUUCAUACUCUUCAAAAGGGGAAAAAAGGCUGCUAUAAAGGUUCAGGAGAACUAAGUACAUGCCUUGAAUUCAGAACUGGAAGCUAUAAAAAGGACAAUUUAUACUUUUUAAUUAUUAUUAUUUUGAGAACGGAGGGUUUUACCAACAUACAUUUCUCUAAAUUUUGAGUUAUUUUAAGAAACAGAGCUGGCAAGUAUUCCUUUUUUGUCUUCUUUGUAUAUACAAGUAAUUAUCCUGUUGUUUCAGAGAAUUCUAAAACUUUGGAGGGAAUAUAAAAAUAUUUAAAUUUUUUUGAAAACUAACAUCAUAUUUCACUAUUUUCUUAUGUAUCCUACAUUUCAUUAAAGAGUUUGGGGAAGCCAGAUAACAUUGCAAAUCUGCUAUUUUAUUUCUCGUGGAAUAAAUUGCAAAUGAUGGGAUAAAAAAAUACAUUUAUCAUUCUUAUAAUAAUGGGGCAAUGCUAGUUCAUACUAUACAGACAAAUGUAGCUAAAGAAAAGAAGAAAAAUGUUAGCUAAAGAAAAAUACAUGGCAUUAGAGAUUACAUUAGUAUGGCUCAUAUGCUUCUUUCUUCUGUUUGUUUUUCCUUUCACUUUUGGUUAAAGUGGGAUUUUCCAAAACACAAGAAUAUGCUUAUCCUACUCCUUGUUCCUUCAGAAUAGAGCCUAUUGAAAAUCAGACUGUGUGUUCUACAUUGUCCCAUAUUUUUGCUUUUGUUUUCUAAUUGGGAAGAAAAAGAAAAUAUGGAACGUUCCAAAAUGUUUCGGUUUUAAAAUGUGGGCUUGGGGACAUCUUUAAUGCAUCAUCAUAACACAACUAGAAGGGACUCAGUUGUUCUUCAUGGAAAAUGUAAUCCAUUCAGGAACGCCAGAUGACAGGGGAGAGAAAUGAGAGACCUAAACCAUGACAAACUCGUGGUGAGUAACAACAAACCAUCCCAAAGAAAAAUAUUUAGAUUCGCUUGGAUAGUUCAAAACAUUUUGGAUUCUUUUUUAUUUUCCCAGAGGGACAUUACAUUGUUUUGGCAUAACCAACUUUUUCCUGUGUAAAAAAGUCAAUAUUACAGGAACCACUUUUCUAUUAAAAACCAUGAACAGAAAAUUCUGGAGCAGGAAUAGAGGGAAGCAGUGAAGCCAAAACCAAGAGCAUUUGAAAAUGUCCUCCCUGGAGAAUGUUAUGACCAUUCCAACCUAGCCAUAAGAUUUUUAUAUGAAGGGUAACUUCUGCGUUAAAUGUGACAAACUUUGUCCUGGCUUCUGUAUCACGGGCAUGCAAGUACGCACAGGUGGAUGGGCAAAAAGAGUUACGAUCACCCUCACGUACGGGAAAGCUGCUUCUUGGACCUCAGCGUAGAUUGCUUCGUGCCGCCAAAUGCAGAAGGGCUCCUUUUAUCAUGGUUCAAUCAUGGGAGCUUGCUCCUUCUCUGAAGCAAAUAUGGAUGUGAAGUUUAUGCAGCUGCAUCCCUCUUUCAUGUUAAUUAUAUCACUCCAAGCGCUUCAGCUAUGAUCCCACACUGCAGUGCCUCACGCUUGAACCAGCCUGCCUAUUUCCCUGGGCGGCUGCCAUGGAAAUUACCUCCCUGCUGAAGUCCUGGCAUGUUACCUAGUCCUCUGUAAUCUGAGUUUCUUUCAAGCUCAUGUACCCGGGAUUCGCCACUGUAGCCAUGCCUCAUGUCUCUGCAUGAUUUCAGCUGAUUUCCCAGUCUGCCUUGGGGAAAAGAGCAUGUCCAGUCUCAUUUAAAAAAAAACCAAAACAUUGCUGAAAACCAAGGAUCUGCAAAGAGAUUCAACAUCUAAAUCAGUUCCCGUGUGGCUAAUAAAUAACAAAAAGCAAUUUUCAAUUCCUAGCAUUGAUGCCCCACUUUAUGAUCCUGAGCAGCUCUCAGAUACAACCCCAUGUCCCUGGCCACAGGCCCUCAUCCCAUACUCCAGAUGCAACACCAUUUCCAACCCUAGCUUUAAACAGAACUUGACUUUAGGCGGUACUGGGCUUGCAAAAUGCAGGAAGCAAAAAUUUUCAUUCCUUUCCACCCAGAACACAUAAUCUCUGCCGUAGAAUAGCUACAAAGCAGUGGCCUCCAUUUCUCAUUAUAAAUCCACUGUGCCAACAGCACUCUUCCUCAAAAGCCUUCUGGCCUUGAAAAAUCCAUAAAGAAACACAGAUCUUCAUUGACAGGCAACCUGAA
Phalacrocorax carbo (great cormorant) is the source of this 9263-nucleotide non-coding RNA. NCBI's taxonomy places the organism in Eukaryota, Metazoa, Chordata, Aves, Suliformes, Phalacrocoracidae. The record is from RefSeq and is a predicted model, not a curated record.